UGCUAUGACACCCAGCAAACUGGAAG
RNAcentral lists this non-coding RNA (26 nucleotides) under Homo sapiens (human). The record is from RNAcentral. Lineage: Eukaryota; Metazoa; Chordata; Mammalia; Primates; Hominidae.